UGUGGUUUAAUUCGAAGCAACGCGAAGAACCUUUACCAGGUCUUGACAUCCCUCUGAAUGGCGCUUAGCAGCGCAGGUCUUUCGGGACAGAGGAGACAGGUGGUGCGAUGGUUGUCGUCAGCUCGUGUCGUGAGAUGUUGGGUUAAGUCCCGCAACGAGCGCAACCCUUGCCUUUAGUUGCCAGCACGUUAUGGUGGGCACUCUAGAGGGACUGCCGGUGACAAACCGGAGGAAGGUGGGGAUGACGUCAAAUCAUCAUGCCCCUUAUGAUCUGGGCUACACACGUGCUACAAUGGCCGGUACAACGAGAAGCGAAACCGCGAGGUGAAGCAAAUCUUUUAAAGCCGGUCCCAGUUCGGAUUGCAGGCUGAAACUCGCCUGCAUGAAGUUGGAGUUGCUAGUAAUCGCGGAUCAGCAUGCCGUGGUGAAUGCGUUCCCGGGUCUU
Molecule: ribosomal RNA, 445 nt
Filed under: uncultured Acidaminobacter sp.
Lineage: Bacteria; Bacillati; Bacillota; Clostridia; Peptostreptococcales; Acidaminobacteraceae
Description: bacterial SSU rRNA
Rfam family: Bacterial small subunit ribosomal RNA
Source: RNAcentral